ACGUAGGUAGCGAGCGUUAUUCGGAAUUACUGGGCGUAAAGGGUCUGCAGGCGGCCUGCCAAGUCUGGCGUGAAAGUCCAAGGCUCAACCUUGGAACUGCGUUGGAUACUGGAAAGCUAGAGUGCAGGAGAGGAGAGCAGAAUUCCUGGUGUAGCGGUGGAAUGCGUAGAUAUCAGGAGGAACACCGAUGGCGAAGGCGGCUCUCUGGCAUGCAACUGACGCUGAGGUGCGAAAGCGUGGGGAGCAAACAG
Molecule: ribosomal RNA, 251 nt
Filed under: uncultured prokaryote
Description: partial 16S rRNA
Rfam family: Bacterial small subunit ribosomal RNA
Source: RNAcentral